GCACACGUGGCGUAAUUGGUAGCCGCACCAGACUUAGGAUCUGGCGCCGCAAGGUGUGUGGGUUCGAGUCCCUCCGUGUGCA
Molecule: transfer RNA, 82 nt
Filed under: Bacteroidota bacterium
Lineage: Bacteria; Pseudomonadati; Bacteroidota
Description: Bacteroidetes bacterium (bioreactor metagenome) tRNA-Leu
Rfam family: tRNA
About the family: Transfer RNA (tRNA) molecules are approximately 80 nucleotides in length. Their secondary structure includes four short double-helical elements and three loops (D, anti-codon, and T loops).
Source: RNAcentral